UCCUGCCUUGAUGCCCGAUGACGCCUGAGAUAGGCACAGGCUCCCCGUGACCCGAGGUAGUUCGGAUAAGCGGUAGAAAAUGAAUGAAUGAAUAAAACCAUGCCAACGUCUUGUGCUGGCUAGCUAAAUUUCUGCUAGCAAUGCUGCUAUUGCUGUUUAUAACAGCUAGACUAGACAUCCAGACAGACAUCUUAUCUUGAUACAAAGAUAAAAAAUAAAUAUUCUUAUGUCAUUUAUUUUAUUUUAAUCAAGCUUAUGUUCAGUACAAAAGGCUAAUCCUAGCUAGCUACAUUAGGAGCCACUUCAAAUGCUUAAUUGUCGUUGUUAAAAUAGUAAAAGUAUAAACUAAAGCUAUGAUUUUAGAAGUUACUAUGCUAACAACUAGUGUAGGUUAUAACUUCUCUAAACACUUCAACGCUAUUCGUAGAAUUGACCUUUAGAUAGAUUGACAGAUACCACUGUUGCUUAUAGACUAUAAAAAGGUUUCAGAUAUAUUUUUAAGGUAAAUGUAUUUAAAUCGAAUGUUUUGAUAAAGAAAAAUGAUUUGCAGAAUCCUGAAGUAAAGCUAGCUAGUUUCAGUAGAUUUUCCUGUUAAAAAUAGACUUAAACUCGCUUAAUGACGUGUUCAGCUGCUAAAAUAGUUUACAUCAGUUUAUACAUAAGCAUGCUGUGAGCAUACUAGUAGGAAAUGCUAGUUACUUGUAAUGCUAGCAAUGAAUAAUCUACAGGUGGUAAGAAAAGGUUUUGUUUAAUUCAAAAUACUAAACCAGCUAGAUACAUUAAAAGCUACACUCAGAUGUAUUCAGUAAAAUAGUGAAACUAAUUACAAUCUACGUUUUGGUUCAACAAGUAGAAAAUGUGAACAAACAAACUAGCUAGCUGUUAGCUUUGCUAGCGCCACUGUUGCUGCUCGGUAUCAAGAUCAGCGGCUCCAAGAUAGCUGCUUUAUUAUUCAUUCUGUUCAGAAAUUCAGAAAAUGCUUUUUAACCCAACAGUUUUACGUGAGGAUGUGAUUUUAUUUUUUAAUCGUGACAUUUUCAAGAUGCUGACCUUGGUUUUUUAACAAUAUUAGCUGCAUAGCUUUCGGUGAAAUGAUAACGAUCAAGCUUGACACACCGGACUUGUCUUUGUUGACUAGGUACAUUUAGAUUAGGAAGGAAAUAAAAGGGUGUAAAUUUGUAUUUUUGGCUGAACUGUUUGUUUAAAAGUAACAAGGAUUAAGAGGAAAUAAGAAAUGCCGGACGAAGCUAUGCUGGUUGGUGCGAACAGAGUCGUGGCCUUCGAGUCAGGGCAAUAAAGUGAAGUGUUUUUGCUUCUGUAUACUCGAGUGUGACAUCGAGCCAAAGAGAAGCUCUGCUGUUUUUUUUUUCUUUUUUAUUUCUUUCUAUUUUUAUUUCCUCCACAUGUAGCGUAACAUGUUCAAUAGUCAUAGGAAGCAGUGACACGGCCAUGUUUCAUCGAGCUAGUGAUCGUUACCUCUUGUAAUGUGUGUGUGUGUGUGUGUGUGUGUGUGUGCGUGUCAGGAAUAAUAUGAAGUAAGAAUAAAAGCCUGGAGUGUAUUGUACUUUGGAAAAUACCGAUGACUUGUAAGAUAUACGUGUAUUAAAAAUGUAUUUAUUGUACAGCGAAUGAAUCUAAUUCUUUUCAUAUUUAUAUGGACGUUUUAUAAAUAUUAAUAUAUACUGUACUACAUUUUGGAAUAUGUAUUGCUCCCCUGUUCCAGAUGUAUAUAUGUCUAUAUUUUUUCAUGUAAAAAAAAAAUGCUGUAAAAUAGUUGUACAUUUUUUUUUUUUUUUUCUUUUUCUUAUUAUUUUUUUUAGAAUGGGUCGAUACAUGUUCUGUCAUGUACAAAUACAUAUUUUUGUAUUGCAUGUGGCUAUUAUUCUGUAAAUGAUCCACUUUUUCUUUUGUUUUCCUCUUUGAGAAACAAUAAAGCUGUGCUCGCAUUUCUAAA
This is a long non-coding RNA of Tachysurus vachellii, 1954 nucleotides long. RefSeq lists it as uncharacterized. The record is from RefSeq and is a predicted model, not a curated record. The transcript is spliced from 2 exons. Lineage: Eukaryota; Metazoa; Chordata; Actinopteri; Siluriformes; Bagridae.